UGAGUAACCUGCCCUUAACUCUGGGAUAAGCCUGGGAAACUGGGUCUAAUACCGGAUAUGACUCCUCAUCGCAUGGGUGGGGGGUGGAAAGCUUUUUGUGGUUUUGGAUGGACUCGCGGCCUAUCAGCUUGUUGGUGAGGUAAUGGCUCACCAAGGCGACGAUGCGUAGCCGACCUGAGAGGGUGAUCGGCCACAUUGGAACUGAGACACGGUCCAGACCUCCGUAGGGA
This 230-nucleotide ribosomal RNA is filed under the name uncultured bacterium. RNAcentral describes it as "partial 16S ribosomal RNA". It matches the Rfam family "Bacterial small subunit ribosomal RNA", at positions 118 to 346 of the family's 1533-position model. The record is from RNAcentral.